Molecule: ribosomal RNA, 119 nt
Filed under: Pteropus alecto (black flying fox)
Lineage: Eukaryota; Metazoa; Chordata; Mammalia; Chiroptera; Pteropodidae
Also listed under: 1 other name
Source: RNAcentral
GUCUAUGGCCAUGCCACCCUGAACAUGCCUGAUCCUAUCUGAUCUCGGAAGCUAAGCAGGGUCGGGCCUGGUUAGUACUUGGAUGGGAGACCAUCUAGGAAGAUCAGGUGCUGUAGGCA